RNAcentral lists this ribosomal RNA (2844 nucleotides) under Parabacteroides timonensis. RNAcentral describes it as "bacterial LSU rRNA". The stretch from base 804 to 2844 matches the Rfam family "Bacterial large subunit ribosomal RNA". The record is from RNAcentral. Lineage: Bacteria; Pseudomonadati; Bacteroidota; Bacteroidia; Bacteroidales; Tannerellaceae.
ACGAUAAAAAUAUUGACCGUAAUGAGGCUUUAUUGCUGGUAGAUGGUGUUGAACAGCGUAUCUCCGAUAUCAACCCGGACGAUAUUGAAAGUAUUUCUAUCCUGAAAGACGCUUCUACGACAGCUAUCUACGGUUCGCGUGCCGCCAACGGAGUUGUGCUCGUAACAACCAAACGUGGAAAAGAAGGUAAGAUCAGAAUAGAUUUCAAUACUUACUGGGGUAUCCAGAGUGUGACCAACAAACCGGAACACAUGGAAACAGUCACUUAUAUGCAACAGCAGAAUUAUGCUUUCCAGAAUGCUGGACAAGCUCCCCGCUAUUCCGACACUUUUAUCAAGGAAUGGCAGGCUAAUCACAAAAGCGACCCUAUCACAUACCGCAAAGCCAACCAGUGGCAGGAUGCUGUUUACAGCUCUGCCCUGCAACAGAAUUACAGUCUUACCGUAAGUGGUGGUAACGAAAAAGCAAGAGGCUUGAUGGCGUUGCGUUAUUACGAUCAGGACGGUGUUGUUCCGAACUAUAAAUCCGAUAUCAAAGAAAUUCGUGUCAACACGGACUUUAAACCUUUCGAACGGCUGAAGAUAUCGGCGGAUGCCAACUUCAGAAGCAGUUAUUCCAAAGCACCUCUCGAUGCCUACGAAUACGAUAAAAAUGGUGGGGGUAUUUUCUACUCCAUGUAUCAUGCCACACAGUUCGUUGUUCCGCAAUAUCCUGACGGUAGCUACGGAUUGGGAAAUAAGAAUGCCAACCCGCUGAUGCUGGCCGAAAUGGGUGGAACAGACAAGCAAUGGAACAAUUUAUUCAUCGGAAACAUUAAGGCUGAAUUACAAAUUAUCGACGGCCUGAAGUUUACAGCCCAGUAUGCACAACGUUAUGGCUUCAAUAAGACCGUUAAAUUCGAAAAUGCCUAUACGGUAGUGGAUCAUCAANCUGAUAAUGUAGAGGUCGGCAGUUCAACUCUGCCUGGGACUACAGAAUCUCUAAACGAGAAACCUGGGGGAUUAGCUCAGCUGGCUAGAGCAUCUGCCUUGCACGCAGAGGGUCAACGGUUCGAAUCCGUUAUUCUCCACAUCACUCAGUNUAAAGAGUGCGUAACAGCUCACUAGUCGAGGAGUUUGGCGUGGAUAAUACUCGGGCAUAAACUGUUUACCGAAGCUAUGGAUGUCGUAAGACAUGGUAGGGGAGCAUUCCAGUGGCGUAGAAGGUAAGGGAUAACCCUUGUUGGAGCGACUGGAAAAGCAAAUGUAGGUAUAAGUAACGAUAAAGGAAGUGAGAAACUUCCUCGCCGAAAGACUAAGGUUUCCUGAUCAACGUUAAUCGGAUCAGGGUAAGUCGGGACCUAAGGAUAAGCCGAACGGCGAUUCCGAUGGAAGAAUGGUUUAAUAUUCCCAUACUACUUUAUUGAGCGAUGUGGAGACGGAGAAGUGACAGUCCUGCCAUCUGACGGAAUAGAUGGUUAAAGGGUGUAGACGUCGAUCGUGGUAGGCAAAUCCGCCAUGAGAGUCGAACCUGACAGUAUGCCGAGUACUUGUACAAGGCAAUAUGGACGUAAUCAGGCUCCCUAGAAAAUCCGCUAAGCAUAUCAAUAAAGUACCCGUACCGUAAACGGACACACGUAGUUGGGUUGAGAAUACUGAGGCGCUCGAGUGAUUCACGGUUAAGGAACUAGGCAAAUUGACCCUGUAACUUCGGGAUAAAGGGUCCCACUGUCAAAGGUGGGCGCAGAGAAUAGGUCCAGGCAACUGUUUAACAAAAACACAUGGCUGUGCAAAAUAGAAAUAUGAAGUAUACAGCCUGACACCUGCCCGGUGCUGGAAGGUUAAGAGGAGAUGUCAUCGCAAGAGAAGCAUUGAAUUGAAGCCCCAGUAAACGGCGGCCGUAACUAUAACGGUCCUAAGGUAGCGAAAUUCCUUGUCGGGUAAGUUCCGACCUGCACGAAUGGUGUAAUGAUCUGGACACUGUCUCAACCGUGAGCUCGGUGAAAUUGUAGUAUCGGUGAAGAUGCCGAUUACCCGCGAUGGGACGAAAAGACCCCGUGAACCUUUACUAUAGCUUUACAUUGAAUUUGGGCAACUAAUGUGUAGGAUAGGCCGGAGACUAUGAAGCGGGUACGCCAGUAUUUGUGGAGUCAUCGUUGAAAUACGGCCCUUUGGUUGUUUGAGUUCUAACCCGCGAAAUGUGGGGACACUGUAUGGUGGGUAGUUUGACUGGGGUGGUCGCCUCCAAAAGAGUAACGGAGGCUUCUAAAGGUACCCUCAGACCGAUUGGUAACCGGUCGUAGAGUGUAAUGGCAUAAGGGUGCUUGACUGGGAGACAUACAAGUCGAUCAGGUAGGAAACUAGAGCAUAGUGAUCCGGUGGUUCCGUAUGGAAGGGCCAUCGCUCAAAGGAUAAAAGGUACUCCGGGGAUAACAGGCUGAUCGCUCCCAAGAGCUCAUAUCGACGGAGCGGUUUGGCACCUCGAUGUCGGCUCGUCACAUCCUGGGGCUGGAGAAGGUCCCAAGGGUUGGGCUGUUCGCCCAUUAAAGUGGCACGCGAGCUGGGUUCAGAACGUCGUGAGACAGUUCGGUCUCUAUCUAUCGUGGGCGUAGGAUAUUUGAGAGGCUCUGACACUAGUACGAGAGGACCGUGUUGGACAGACCACUGGUUUACCGGUUGUACCGCCAGGUGCACCGCCGGGUAGCUAAGUCUGGAUUGGAUAAGUGCUGAAAGCAUCUAAGUACGAAGCCAGCCUCAAGAUAAGAUAUCCCUUAAGGGUCGUCGUAGACUACGACGUUGAUAGGCUACAGGUGUAAGGGCAGUAAUGUCGAAGCCGAGUAGUACUAAUAGCCCGAGACUUUCUUUU